AACCGCCUAGUGCGGACCCGCAUGCUAGGUGGUGUGAGGGGACGGGGGUUAGCCGCCCCCCUCCUACUCGAU
Molecule: non-coding RNA, 72 nt
Filed under: Caldibacillus debilis GB1
Lineage: Bacteria; Bacillati; Bacillota; Bacilli; Caryophanales; Bacillaceae
Source: RNAcentral